GGAGAGGUGGCCGAGAGGUCUAAGGCAGCGGUUUGCUAAACCGUAGUACGAAUAAAAUCGUACCGAGGGUUCGAAUCCCUCUCUCUCCG
This 89-nucleotide transfer RNA is filed under the name Rickettsiales bacterium Ac37b. It matches the Rfam family "tRNA". Rfam says of the family: Transfer RNA (tRNA) molecules are approximately 80 nucleotides in length. Lineage: Bacteria; Pseudomonadati; Pseudomonadota; Alphaproteobacteria; Rickettsiales. The record is from Rfam by way of RNAcentral.